RNAcentral lists this ribosomal RNA (2022 nucleotides) under Triticum aestivum (bread wheat). RNAcentral's name for it is "partial small subunit ribosomal RNA". The record is from RNAcentral. Lineage: Eukaryota; Viridiplantae; Streptophyta; Magnoliopsida; Poales; Poaceae.
AUGCACCGCCUCCUCCGCCGCACCCGUUCGGCGGACUUCGACGCACCGGCGCCCGCUCCCUUCGCCGCGGUGCCCCUCGCCGCCGCCGCGCCUGCCGCCCCCACGCCCGCGGUCACCACUCCCCCGGUCGCCACGGCCCCCGCUGCGCGCCCCGGACCCUCCACGUCCGAUCGGGGCAAAACGCCUGUUCCUGAGGGCGCCAUGGCCUCUUCCUCGUCCGCGCCCCGCCCGGCUCCUCCGCCCCCUACGGGCGUUCUGCGCACCGCUGGCAGUACUCCUGCUCCCCGUCUCGCACUCGGCGGCACCAGCGGCGCCCUCGUCCCUCUCCGCAUGGGGGGCGCCUCCGACGCCGGCCCUUCCUCCGUUGCCGGUCUCCCGCCCUCUGUCGCACACUACUUCACCUCCAAGCUCCAGCUGGAGUUGGGGAACUACUCUCGUUGGCGCCAGCUCUUCUACGUCAUCGCCUGCAAGUACGAGGUCCAGCACCACCUCGACAUCGCCACCGAGCCGCUCGGCCAGAGCGCCGUGUGGAGAAACGACGCCCUCACCAUCGUGCUGUGGAUGCAUGGCGUGGUCGACGACGACCUCCUCGACGCCGUCGCUACCCCGGCCAGCUCCGCCUACGACAUCUGGUCGCAGCUUCACCUCCUCUUCAUGGACAACCAGCCCGGGCGCGCUGUCAUCCUCGGUGCAGAAUUCCGCAGCUUCGUCCAGGGCGACCUCUCCGUCGCCGAAUACAGCAGGCGUCUCAAGUCCCUCGCAGAUGCCCUUGAGGACGUCGGCGAGCGCGUCACCGAUCAGUCCCUCAGACUUCAGCUCAUCCGUGGUCUCAACCGUAAGUUUCACGUCAUGGCUACCCUACUGCCGAUGCAAUCACCGUUCCCAACCUUCGUGCAGUCGCGCUCGAGGCUGCUCAUGGAGGAGAUUUCGGCUAACGAGCGGGCGCGGCUCGAUGGACGGCCUGAAGCCACGGCCACCGCGCUCGCCAUCGGCCACAGCCCGGACGUCUCCUCCUCCGACCGCACUCCUGAUCGCGCCUCCAUCGAUCGGGGCAAGGUGCCUGCCGCGCCGCAGUCUGGUGACCGCGACCGCGGAGGGCGUGGACGUGGGCGUGGGCGCGGCCGCGGCCGCGGCGCCCAAACUCCUGGCGGCCCCUCCUCCGGCCGCGCUGCUGCUCCUUCCGAUUUCGGCUCGUCCUCAUCACUGCCCACCGGCUACUUCGCCCCGUACGGGGCGCUCCUUCCGGGUCUUCCUCGGCCUCGCGCACCGUGGGCCGCACCGAACGCUGCGGGUGUUCUAGGCCCGCGCCCGCCACCUCCUCAUCAGGCCUACCCGGUAGCCGCCGCGGCCUCCUCCAACGGGCCGUCUUGGGAGCAGUACAACCAACUGUACGCCGCGCUGCAGAACCUCUCCGUGCAGCACCAGCAGGCCGGCGGCACACCGGACUGGUUCCUCGACACGGGCGCUACGUCGCACGUCGCUGGUAAGACGAGCUCUCUCACCUUGUAUGGUUCCCCCUCGCUGCGUCAUUCCUCAGGCAUCCUCGUAGGCGACGGCUCGCGUAUUCCUAUUACUGCCGUCGGCUCCACAUCUCUCUCCAAUUUUUCUCUCAAUGACGUUCUCGUUUCCCCUACUAUUAUCAGGAAUUUAAUCUCCGUGCGCCGUUUUACACAAGAUAACUUUGUUUCUAUAGAGUUUGACCCGUUCGGUUUUUCCGUGAAGGACCUAGCAACAGGGAGAAAAAUUCUGAGAUCCAAUAGCCACGGGGAGCUCUACCCAUUCUUCACCAACUCCGGCGUCCAAGAAGCUCUCUCCGUCGUCACCGGCGACCUCUGGCAUCAACGUUUGGGACAUGCUAGCAAUAAAUCCGUUUCUGCUUUAGCUCGUCAUUUACUUCCCUCAUGUAAUAAAGACUUGUCUAGCACCACUAUUUGCUCCUCAUGUAAAUUAGGCAAGCCGGGGGCUGCCCUUUUCCCUUUCUGUAUCAAAAACAAGUGCACCCUUUCAACUAGUUCAUUGUGA